RNAcentral lists this transfer RNA (69 nucleotides) under Phrynoderma hexadactylum (Indian five-fingered frog). RNAcentral describes it as "tRNA-Ala". It matches the Rfam family "tRNA". Rfam says of the family: Transfer RNA (tRNA) molecules are approximately 80 nucleotides in length. Lineage: Eukaryota; Metazoa; Chordata; Amphibia; Anura; Dicroglossidae. The record is from RNAcentral.
AGGACUUUAGCUUAAUUAAAGUUUUUGAGUUGCAUUCAGAAGAUGUGGGGUGAUGCCCGCAAGUCCUAC